AUUGAACGCUGGCGGCAGGCCUAACACAUGCAAGUCGAAUGGUAACAGGAAACAGCUUGCUGUUUCGCUGACGAGUGGCGGACGGGUGAGUAAUGUCUGGGAAACUGCCUGAUGGAGGGGGAUAACUACUGGAAACGGUAGCUAAUACCGCAUAACGUCGCAAGACCAAGAGGGGGACCUUCGGGCCUCUUGCCAUCAGAUGUGCCCAGAUGGGAUUAGCUAGUAGGUGGGGUAACGGCUCACCUAGGCGACGAUCCCUAGCUGGUCUGAGAGGAUGACCAGCCACACUGGAACUGAGACACGGUCCAGACUCCUACGGGAGGCAGCAGUGGGGAAUAUUGCACAAUGGGCGCAAGCCUGAUGCAGCCAUGCCGCGUGUAUGAAGAAGGCCUUCGGGUUGUAAAGUACUUUCAGCGGGGAGGAAGGGAGUAAAGUUAAUACCUUUGCUCAUUGACGUUACCCGCAGAAGAAGCACCGGCUAACUCCGUG
This 489-nucleotide ribosomal RNA is filed under the name uncultured bacterium. RNAcentral's name for it is "partial 16S ribosomal RNA". It matches the Rfam family "Bacterial small subunit ribosomal RNA", at positions 30 to 507 of the family's 1533-position model. The record is from RNAcentral.